UACAGAGGUCUCAAGCGUUGUUCGGAUUCAUUGGGCGUAAAGGGUGCGUAGGCGGCGCGGUAAGUCGGGUGUGAAAUCUCGGAGCUUAACUCCGAAACUGCAUUCGAUACUGCCGUGCUUGAGGACUGGAGAGGAGACUGGAAUUUACGGUGUAGCAGUGAAAUGCGUAGAUAUCGUAAGGAAGACCAGUGGCGAAGGCGAAUCUCUGGACAGUUACUGACAUUGAGGCACGAAGGCCAGGGGAGCAAACGGG
This 253-nucleotide ribosomal RNA is filed under the name uncultured bacterium. RNAcentral describes it as "partial 16S ribosomal RNA". It matches the Rfam family "Bacterial small subunit ribosomal RNA", at positions 524 to 776 of the family's 1533-position model. The record is from RNAcentral.